RNAcentral lists this ribosomal RNA (445 nucleotides) under uncultured bacterium. RNAcentral's name for it is "bacterial SSU rRNA". It matches the Rfam family "Bacterial small subunit ribosomal RNA", at positions 331 to 793 of the family's 1533-position model. The record is from RNAcentral.
CCAGAUCCUACGGGAGGCAGCAGUGGGGAAUAUUGCACAAUGGGGGAAACCCUGAUGCAGCAACGCCGCGUGAGUGAAGAAGUAUUUCGGUAUGUAAAGCUCUAUCAGCAGGGAAGAAGAUGACGGUACCUGAUUAAGAAGCCCCGGCUAACUACGUGCCAGCAGCCGCGGUAAUACGUAGGGGGCAAGCGUUAUCCGGAAUUACUGGGUGUAAAGGGAGCGUAGACGGUUAAGUAAGUCUGGAGUGAAAGGCCGGGGCCCAACCCCGGGACUGCUCUGGAAACUAUUGAACUUGAGUACAGGAGAGGUAAGCGGAAUUCCUAGUGUAGCGGUGAAAUGCGUAGAUAUUAGGAGGAACACCAGUGGCGAAGGCGGCUUACUGGACUGUAACUGACGUUGAGGCUCGAAAGCGUGGGGAGCAAACAGGAUUAGAUACCCCUGUACG